AGAGUUUGAUUAUGGCUCAGGAUGAACGCUGGCGGCAUGCCUAAUACAUGCAAGUCGAACGGAGCCGAUUGGAAGCUUGCUUUUGAGAGGCUCAGUGGCGAACGGGUGAGUAACACGUAGGGAACCUGCCCAGAUCACCGGGAUAACGGUUGGAAACGACAGCUAAGACCGGAUAGGUGAUGGCGAGGCAUCUUGUCAUCAUGAGAAGAGCUACGGCUCUGGAGCUGGAUGGACCUGCGGCGCAUUAGCUGGUUGGUGAGGGUAACGGCCCACCAAGGCAAUGAUGCGUAGCCGGCCUGAGAGGGUGCACGGCCACAUUGGGACUGAGACACGGCCCAA
This 339-nucleotide ribosomal RNA is filed under the name uncultured bacterium. RNAcentral's name for it is "bacterial SSU rRNA". It matches the Rfam family "Bacterial small subunit ribosomal RNA", at positions 8 to 334 of the family's 1533-position model. The record is from RNAcentral.